AGUUGACCCUAUAUUCUCUCGCCAUCAUCGAAUUGAAUCAGUCAACAAGAGAUAUACGUUUCAUAGCCUCUCAUUAGUCAUCUCUCAAAGAACCCUUGCAUUUCUUCUCUCGAAGGCAACAAUAUACAAAAAUCUACUCUCUUCAUCGCCUCUCACUACCAAGAAAAAACUGAUUGAACGAUGGUGACUGUGGCUAAAAAUAGUUAAAUCGGCUUCAAAACCAUUAUACAAAAAGCCCUAAAACAAACAUUCUUCCAUCGUCUAAUCGUCUCCCAAUUCACUUCUGAAGGACUCCCACUCGAAAGUAAUUUUUUCUGAAGACCUUUGAAAGAUCCAAUUUUCUUUUAUCUAAUUCAAGGAAGAUUCAAAAAUUAGAAAAGGAAGAAGCUGAAACGUGAGUUUAUUCAAGCUUCAUAUUUCCAUGUUUGUGUAAUUGAUGAAAGAUAUGGAUUUAUGUUUAAUUUUUUUUUAAUAAUGGCUAGCAUUUUGUGAUUUAGUCACCCUGAUUUAUUUAAGUACUUGCUUUCUGGUGUCUUGUAGGGCAUAGAGAAACGAUUUGAAUAUGGAUUCGAAAAUCAACUACCCACAUUUGUUUUGCAUCUAAUCCAUCUGCUAGGUUUCUUUCAGAAAAUGGAUAAAAUAAGGCAAAAACAUAUAUAUAUUUGUUUUAUUUGUUUAUUAGUAAGUGCUGAAGUUUCUCAGAUUUUCCAAGAACUUUUUGCAUUGAUAGUAUCUGUUUAACUCUGUAUGUGUAUGUGAUUGAACUUUGUUUGUGUGAAAUUUCUUGUAAGGAUUUAAAUAUGUGCUUUUUGAUGACUUUUUGUAGGAUAAAAUCAAAUCUUGGAUCAUUGUUUUGCUAUUUGGAACACACAAGGUAUCUUUCACUAAGCACUCAUAUUUAACAUAAACAUAGCUAACUGAUUCAAGUAAAUGUCGAUUUUUUUUCACAAUCAUUUUUAAAAUAUCUAAUUUUGGUUGAAUUGUGUUUUUAACUGUUUCUGGAGUUUAUAGCAUAAUGGUCUAGGAAGAUGUGUAGCCCGUGAAAGAUCAUGCUCAAGCUUGUGGAUAGACCUACUGAAAGUCACAAUCCUUAAAAGAAAAUUGGUUUAUUUUUUUCAGCCUUUUGUUUGCAUGUUGACUCACCAGCUGCCAUGGGAUUCACAUUGUAGCUUGAGAUUUAGAUGUUUAUGUUGGUUUUCGAGUUUGGUCUUGGUGUUACUUUUAACAGAAAAAAAAAAUAUAUUUGAUUAAUGACUUAUGAUAUGAUGAAAUGUAUCAAGUUUCAAGAGUUGGGCCGAAUUAAAGUGUUUUUUUUAAGUUAGUGUAAUUUUUUCUUAGAUAUAUGAAUGUGUAGUUUAUAAUUUCGUUUUUGGUUUGCAGGGGCAAAAGGUUUUAAUAUUCAGGAUGAAAAUAUUUUAUUUAAAGAAUCUUUUGACUUAUUUUGACAGAAGUGUUUUGAAGACACGUCUCCAAGGACGUCAUGUUAUGCUUCCACGGGGAAUUUGGUGAUGAAAAAGAUGCAGAUAUGGCUUAUUACCAACCUACUUUUAACAAGAAAGUUAAAUAUGAAGGAGUUGGUUUAGUUACUUUGAGUGAAUGCUUGAAGAUUUUUUGAAUAAGAAGACCCAAAUCGGUUAUUUUGCCCAUUUCUUCCGAGUCCACCAACAGGGAAUGUUUUUGGAUCCAUGUGGCUAUGGUCUUGGGUGUUGAACUGUUGAUGAUGAGAAUAUACAUAGACUCUUCAAAUAUGAUCCAUCAGACACUUUUUUAUUUGGAGAUAAGUCAAUAUACAGGAUUUUCGAAGAGAGGGACCAAAGGUGACAAAAUGGGGAACAUGGGAGGCUUGAAAAACAAGAAAAUAAUAAAUUCACGAUAAACUCUCAAUUCACGACGUGGCGAUGAAGCCCACAACGUGGCACGGGUGUUCCAGAAGAUAAACAUCGCGACGCGGAGGAUUUCCUUGAAGGAUACGGAUUGCUUGAAGCCCACGACGUGGCGCAGCCUGGCCACGACGUGGCGCGGGUUUUUAAGGAUUAUAUAAGUCCUCCUGAUUAUUACGAAAGAAGAAGCAUUUGGCAGAAGAAAAAGAGUUCCAGGAGACGAUUCAGAGCGAAAGAAAGGUUCUGGAAGAGGGUUUUCAACACCAAAAGAAGUAAAGGUUUAUAUUUUAGUUAAAUAAGAACAUGUCUUUCAUUAGUUUUAGCUGUGUUAGUUUAAUUACUAUGAUGAGCAGCUGAAUCUAGCUACUCUUGUUUAGCUAGAUGAAGCUUUAAACUUAUGAAUAGUUAUAUGCUUAUGGAUUGAGCUUAGUUGGUAAGAAUUUGCUUGUGUUUGAUUUGUAUAACCUAGCAUGUUAUUAUUUGUUUAUCUAAUUGCUUGAUUGCA
Non-coding RNA from Lactuca sativa (garden lettuce), 2385 nucleotides. The record is from RefSeq and is a predicted model, not a curated record. Lineage: Eukaryota; Viridiplantae; Streptophyta; Magnoliopsida; Asterales; Asteraceae.